GAUGAACGCUAGCGGCAGGCUUAAUACAUGCAAGUCGUGGGGCAGCACAAAUAGCAAUAUUGGGUGGCGACCGGCAAACGGGUGCGGAACACGUACGCAACCUUCCUUCGAGCGGGGAAUAGCCCAGAGAAAUUUGGAUUAAUACCCUAUAAUAUUUUGAGAUGGCAUCAUCUUAUUAUUAAAGCUCCGGCACUUGAAGAUGGGCGUGCGCCUGAUUAGGUAGNGGUCGGGGUAAUGGCCCACCAAGCCUUCGAUCAGUAACUGGUGUGAGAGCAUGACCAGUCACACGGGCACUGAGACACGGGCCCGACUCCUACGGGAGGCAGCAGUAAGGAAUAUUGGGCAAUGGACGCAAGUCUGACCCAGCCAUGCCGCGUGGAGGAUGAAGGUCCUCUGGAUUGUAAACUUCUUUUAUCUGGGACGAAAAAGGAUUCUUUCCGACUGACGGUACCAGGUGAAUAAGC
Molecule: ribosomal RNA, 464 nt
Filed under: uncultured bacterium
Lineage: Bacteria
Description: bacterial SSU rRNA
Rfam family: Bacterial small subunit ribosomal RNA
Source: RNAcentral